This 211-nucleotide ribosomal RNA is filed under the name uncultured bacterium. Its description in RNAcentral is "partial 16S ribosomal RNA". It matches the Rfam family "Bacterial small subunit ribosomal RNA", at positions 524 to 726 of the family's 1533-position model. The record is from RNAcentral.
UAGCGAAGGGGCUAGCGUUGCUCGGGAAUCACUGGGCGUAAAGGGGUGCGUUAGGCGGGUCAUUUAAGUCAGGGGUGAAAUCCUGGAGCUCAACUCCAAGAACUGCCUUUUGAUACUGAGGAUCUUGAGUUCGGGAGAGGUGAGUGGAACUGCGAAGUGUAGAGGUGAAAUUCGUAGAUAUUCGGCAAGAACACCAGUGGCGAAGGCGGCU